Molecule: non-coding RNA, 136 nt
Organism: Hordeum vulgare subsp. vulgare (domesticated barley)
Lineage: Eukaryota; Viridiplantae; Streptophyta; Magnoliopsida; Poales; Poaceae
Source: Rfam
UAUAUACUCCCUCCGUCCCAAAAUUCUUGUCUUGGGUUUUUCUAGAAACGGGUGUAUCUAAAUACUAAAACGUGACUAGAUACAUUUAUAUCUAGACAAAUCUAAGACAAGAAUUUUGGGACGGAUGGAGUAGUUG